CAAGUUGGGUAAGUAUAUCUUGCCUGAGUUUGAAUAUAAAUUUAUUCCAUAUAGGGAAAAACCCCGUAGAGACUGUACGCCGGACUCCGAUGAAAAUCGGAGCAUGAUACAGUCCGAUCUGUGCAGUAAUGUACAG
Molecule: non-coding RNA, 136 nt
Filed under: Candidatus Collierbacteria bacterium GW2011_GWA2_42_17
Lineage: Bacteria; Candidatus Collieribacteriota
Source: RNAcentral